ACGGGAGGCAGCAGCUAAGAAUAUUCCGCAAUGGACGAAAGUCUGACGGAGCGACGCCGCGUGGAUGAUGAAGUCCGGAAGGUUGUAAAAUCCUUUUAUGACUGAGGAAUAAGUGGAGUGAGAGAAACGUUUCAUGGUGACUUUAGGUCAUGAAUAAGCAACGGCUAAUUACGUGCCAGCAGCCGCGGUAACACGUAAGUUGCGAGCGUUGUUCGGAAUUAUUGGGCGUAAAGGGCAUGUAGGCGGUUUUGCAAGCUUGGUGUGAAAGGCAGGAGCUGAACUCCUGGACUGCGUUGAGAACUGCAAGACUUGAGUCACUGAGGGGCAAUCAGAAUUCCUGGUGUAGGGGUGAAAUCUGUAGAUAUCAGGAAGAAUACCAAUGGCGAAGGCAGGUUAACAGCAGACGACUGACGCUGAGGUGCGAAGGUGCGGGGAGCAAACAGGAUUAGAUACCCUGGUA
RNAcentral lists this ribosomal RNA (460 nucleotides) under uncultured Treponema sp. RNAcentral describes it as "partial 16S ribosomal RNA". It matches the Rfam family "Bacterial small subunit ribosomal RNA", at positions 341 to 792 of the family's 1533-position model. Lineage: Bacteria; Pseudomonadati; Spirochaetota; Spirochaetia; Treponematales; Treponemataceae. The record is from RNAcentral.